AGUGAACGCUGGCGGUAGGCCUAACACAUGCAAGUCGAACGGCAGCACAGUAAGAGCUUGCUCUUACGGGUGGCGAGUGGCGGACGGGUGAGGAAUACAUCGGAAUCUACUUUUUCGUGGGGGAUAACGUAGGGAAACUUACGCUAAUACCGCAUACGACCUACGGGUGAAAGCAGGGGAUCUUCGGACCUUGCGCGAUCGAAUGAGCCGAUGUCGGAUUAGCUAGUUGGCGGGGUAAAGGCCCACCAAGGCGACGAUCCGUAGCUGGUCUGAGAGGAUGAUCAGCCACACUGGAACUGAGACACGGUCCAGACUCCUACGGGAGGCAGCAGUGGGGAAUAUUGGACAAUGGGCGCAAGCCUGAUCCAGCCAUACCGCGUGGGUGAAGAAGGCCUUCGGGUUGUAAAGCCCUUUUGUUGGGAAAGAAAAGCAGCAGGUUAAUACCCCGCUGUUCCGACGGUACCCAAAGAAUAAGCACCGGCUAACUUCGUG
This 492-nucleotide ribosomal RNA is filed under the name uncultured bacterium. RNAcentral describes it as "partial 16S ribosomal RNA". It matches the Rfam family "Bacterial small subunit ribosomal RNA", at positions 29 to 507 of the family's 1533-position model. The record is from RNAcentral.